Fukomys damarensis (Damara mole-rat) is the source of this 261-nucleotide long non-coding RNA. RefSeq lists it as uncharacterized. The record is from RefSeq and is a predicted model, not a curated record. Lineage: Eukaryota; Metazoa; Chordata; Mammalia; Rodentia; Bathyergidae. The transcript is spliced from 3 exons.
UAUGAUCAAAGUCAUAUUGGAAAAUGACAAAUCAUUCAUCAAGAACCACAACCCUAAGUUACAGAGGUGAUCAAAUGCAUCUGAAAGGCCUUUUCUCUCACAGUUGCUACGGUACAUACUGCUUCUGCGGAAGAAGAAACGAUGAGAGAGAUAACUCCCCUUUGAUCAUACCACUGUCUCAUCACAUCGUCUUCCCCUGACUUUGUGCAGUCUCCUUCUAACUGGAUUCCCUGUAUCUUUCCCAAUCAAUAUGCCAUCUAA